Molecule: long non-coding RNA, 472 nt
Organism: Gadus chalcogrammus (walleye pollock)
Lineage: Eukaryota; Metazoa; Chordata; Actinopteri; Gadiformes; Gadidae
Exons: 3
Source: RefSeq, a predicted model, not a curated record
AGCAGACUUAGCAGUAGACAAUUUUUUUUUUCGUAAAAGCUAUUUCCAGCAAACAGCUUUAAAAACAUGUUUUCUGGAACUCAAAUACUAUGUUUAAUUGUUGGGAAAACACACCAUAAUAUGUCUCCUUUAAUACACAGACACAAAAGCACAGGUGCCCAUACUCUGCAGGCCGCAAACACACACAAGCAUGUGUACACAUGGCACACACUAGUGUGCAGUGUGGAGUUCACCAUUCAGUUUGCGAAUCUUGGAGCUCAUCUUGUUGGAACCAAGCUCCAUCAGGUUCUUCUUAAGAGCCUCAAAGGACACCAUCCAUGCUCUGAUAGAAGAGAACAUCCACCUUCACGACCAGCUGGAGAACCUCACUCAAGCCCUCAGAGAGCUCAAGAGAAUGCUGUGGCACCACUCGAAUGAUGAGAAUCACCAUAACGACCACCAUAGCGACCACCAUAGCGACCCCCAUAGCGAC